AUGCAACCAGCUAGUGAAAAAGCUACAUCCGUCAAUCCAAAAAGGGUGGGGGAGGUGGGGAGGGAGAAGGAGGAUAGGCUGUCCGAGCAGUUAAUUAGAUUCAUGGCGCGGCGGCCGGCUUGUGGCCGCAAAUGGCAAGGGGCAGGGGGAGAGGAAGGUGGAAGAGGAAGUCAUGUGUGGUUGGGUGUUGAAGACGACGGGGGAGAUGAGGGUAAGAUCGCUGAGCGGUGCUUGGUCCCACACAAGCACGUGGGGCGCAAUCGACUGAUCGACCUGUUGGAAACGUACGUGCGGCCACAAUGA
This 303-nucleotide ribosomal RNA is filed under the name Triticum aestivum (bread wheat). RNAcentral describes it as "partial small subunit ribosomal RNA". The record is from RNAcentral. Lineage: Eukaryota; Viridiplantae; Streptophyta; Magnoliopsida; Poales; Poaceae.